Molecule: RNase P RNA, 318 nt
Filed under: Peptostreptococcus russellii
Lineage: Bacteria; Bacillati; Bacillota; Clostridia; Peptostreptococcales; Peptostreptococcaceae
Description: Bacterial RNase P class A
Rfam family: Bacterial RNase P class A
About the family: Ribonuclease P (RNase P) is a ubiquitous endoribonuclease, found in archaea, bacteria and eukarya as well as chloroplasts and mitochondria. Its best characterised activity is the generation of mature 5'-ends of tRNAs by cleaving the 5'-leader elements of precursor-tRNAs. Cellular RNase Ps are ribonucleoproteins.
Source: RNAcentral
UGAUCGCAGGCAGAAAUGCGUGAGGAAAGUCGGAGCACCACAGAGCAGGGUGCUAGGUAACGCCUAGUGAGAGCAAUCUUAAGGAUAGUGCAACAGAGAGAUACCGCCGUUUUUACGGUAAGGGUGGAAAGGCGAGGUAAGAGCUCACCAGCGCAUAGGUGACUAUGUGGCUAUGUAAACCCCACCUGGUGCAAGGCCAAGUUAGGAAUUAGGAGUGUAGCUCGCACUCCCCAGAUGGUAGGCCGCUUGAAUCUAUUGGUGACAAUAGGUCUAGAAAGAUGAUCAUCUAAUACAGAACUCCGCUUAUAGCUGUGCUUA